AACGAACGCUGGCGGCAGGCCUAACACAUGCGAGUCGAGCGCCCCGCAAGGGGAGCGGCGGACGGGUGAGUAACGCGUGGGAAUAUGCCCUUUGCUACGGAAUAGUCUCGGGAAACUGGGGGUAAUACCGUAUACGCCCUUUGGGGGAAAGAUUUAUCGGCGAAGGAUUAGCCCGCGUUGGAUUAGGUAGUUGGUGGGGUAAUGGCCUACCAAGCCGACGAUCCAUAGCUGGUUUGAGAGGAUGAUCAGCCACACUGGAACUGAGACACGGCCCAGACUCCUACGGGAGGCAGCAGUGGGGAAUCUUAGACAAUGGGGGCAACCCUGAUCUAGCCAUGCCGCGUGAGUGAUGAAGGCCUUAGGGUUGUAAAGCUCUUUCAGCUGGGAAGAUAAUGACGGUACCAGCAGAAGAAGCCCCGGCUAACUCCGUG
This 431-nucleotide ribosomal RNA is filed under the name uncultured bacterium. RNAcentral describes it as "partial 16S ribosomal RNA". It matches the Rfam family "Bacterial small subunit ribosomal RNA", at positions 29 to 507 of the family's 1533-position model. The record is from RNAcentral.